UGCAGUAACUCCUAUCCCUACUUCCCCGUGGUGCCGCCUGGGGUACGAGUAACCGUAACGGGUAACCAACCCUGGUGGGACCUUGGUCGUAUGCUGACAGGGAAGG
RNAcentral lists this ribozyme (106 nucleotides) under Aedes aegypti (yellow fever mosquito). RNAcentral describes it as "drz-agam-1 ribozyme". It matches the Rfam family "drz-agam-1 ribozyme". Lineage: Eukaryota; Metazoa; Arthropoda; Insecta; Diptera; Culicidae. The record is from Rfam by way of RNAcentral.